RNAcentral lists this ribosomal RNA (253 nucleotides) under uncultured bacterium. RNAcentral's name for it is "partial 16S ribosomal RNA". It matches the Rfam family "Bacterial small subunit ribosomal RNA", at positions 524 to 776 of the family's 1533-position model. The record is from RNAcentral.
UACGUAGGGUCCGAGCGUUGUCCGGAAUUACUGGGCGUAAAGAGCUCGUAGGUGGUUUGUCGCGUUGUUCGUGAAAACUCACAGCUUAACUGUGGGCGUGCGGGCGAUACGGGCAGACUGGAGUACUGCAGGGGAGACUGGAAUUCCUGGUGUAGCGGUGGAAUGCGCAGAUAUCAGGAGGAACACCGGUGGCGAAGGCGGGUCUCUGGGCAACUACUGACGCUGAGGAGCGAAAGCGUGGGGAGCGAACAGG